RNAcentral lists this long non-coding RNA (23037 nucleotides) under Vitis vinifera (wine grape). Its description in RNAcentral is "long non-coding RNA (VVIN_LNC007235)". The record is from RNAcentral. Lineage: Eukaryota; Viridiplantae; Streptophyta; Magnoliopsida; Vitales; Vitaceae.
UGGAUAGACUUCAAAGAAGAGGACUACAACUUCCAAAUCGCUGCUUCCUGUGUGGUUGUGAGGAAGAAAGUGUAAAUCAUAUCCUUAUACACUGUACAGUGGUUAGAGCUCUAUGGGAUAUAGUGUUUGGUUUAGUAGACGUGAAAUGGGUUUUCCCAGAAACUGUAAAGGAGGUUUUAGUUAGUUGGAGGGGUUCGUUUGUGGGAAAGAAAAGGAAAAAGACUUGGGAUGCUAUUCCGUUGUGUAUUUUUUGGACGGUGUGGAAGGAGAGGAAUAGAUUAGCUUUUAGGGGGGGGUAAUUGAACGUUCAGAAGUUAAAGAAUUUUUUUGUUUGUAAUUUGUGGAGUUGAGCCAAACUGUAUGUAGGUGAGGAGGCGUUCUCCCUUAUAGGCUUCCUAGAGUGGAUAGCUUCCACUUAAAGGGAGGUGAUUUUUUUUUUUGUUGUUUUUUGAGGCUUUAGCUGCCUUGUAUACCCCCUGUAUGCUUUGUGGCGUUUUGCCUUUUGAAUGAAUAUCCUUUACUUAUCAAAAAAAAAAAAAAAAAGUCUAUUUAGGCUUUUCAAGUUUGUAUGGGGAUAAAGCCCUUAGGCCAAAUGGCUCAGUCUUUUUGGCAGUUUAGUUAUGAUUUUGUGAAAAGUGAAGUGAUGAGAUUUUUUAUGGAGUUCUUUGAGCUAAGCUCUUUUGAAAGAAGCCUUAAUGCCGCUUUUAUAUGGUGUUAAUUCCAAAAAAAAGGGAGACAAAAGAUUUAAAAGACUUAUUAGUUUUGGUAGGGGGCUUAUACAAACUUCCUGUAGAAGUCUUGGCUAACAAACUAAAGAAGUCAUUGGGCAAAUUUGGUUCAACUUCUUAACAUGCAUUUGUGGAGGGAAGGCAAAUCUUGGAUCUAGUCAUCAUAGCAAAUGAAGUAAUUAACUCAAGGCUAAGGAGCUUUGAAAGUGGGGUUAUUUGUGUGUUGGAUAUCAAGAAAGUAUAUGAUCAUAUUAAUUACGGUUUUUUUGCUUGUAGUCAUAAAAAAAAUUGGUUUUGGUUUCAAGUUUGNNNNNNNNNNNNNNNNNNNNNNNNNNNNNNNNNNNNNNNNNNNNNNNNNNNNNNNNNNNNNNNNNNNNNNNNNNNNNNNNNNNNNNNNNNNNNNNNNNNNAAAUUGGUUUUGGUUUCAAGUUUGUAAGGUGGAUGAAGUGGUGCACUUCUACGACUCACUUCUCUUUAUUGGUUAAUGGGACCCCAUGCGAAUUUUUCUAAAUACCAGAGGCUUGUGAUUGGGAGACCUUUUGUCCUCGUAUCUUUUCAUCAUGGCCAUGGAGGCACUCUCCUCUAUACCGAGUAAGGCUAAGAGAGAAGGCUUUGUAAAGGGUUUUUCAAUGUGUGGCUGAGUAGGAGAAGGAACAGAGGGGUCUUAAGGCAAUAUCGGGUUUAAAAAUCAAUUCGAAGAAAAAUGAGUUGGUCCCAGUGGGGCCGUCGUUGAUAUAGCGAGCACCCUCCCUACUAGUCAUUUUGGCCUUCUAUUGGGAGCCUCUUUUGGAUCUUAAUGGGUUUGGAAUGUGGUGGAAGAAAGGUUUCAAAAAUGGCUCACCAUAUAGAAAAGAUAGCAAGUACUUAUCAAAAAGGGACAGUUUAACUCCGAUGAAAAGCACUCUUUCUAAUUUGCCAAUUUACUUCAUGUUAUUAUUUGUCAUCUCGAGAAAAGUGAGUUUAAGGCUAAAAGAUAUCUAAUGGGACUUCAUUUGAGGGAAGGUGCUACGCAAAAAAAGCCUCAUUUAGUAAAUGGGUCAACGGUUUGCAUAGGCAGGAGGAAGGAAGGUUUAGGGAUUAGAAAUCUGUUCUAUCUCAAUAAAGCUCUUUUAGGUAUAUGGUGUUGGAGAUUUGCUAGUGAGAAGAACUUCUUGUGGAAGAAGGUGAUUAUAAGGAAAUGUGGGGAGGAAGAGAGGGGAUGGUUCUCAAUAGUACAUAAAGGCUUAGAAUGGGAGUGUGGAAGACAAUAAGAAGCAAAUGGGAGACUUAUAGCAAUAGAAUCAAUUUUAGGGUGAGCAAUGGGAGGGUGAAAUUUUGGAAGGAUAAGUGGUGUGGUGGCUUACUCCUUGGAGAGGCUUUUCCUGCAUUGUUUUCCACAGCCACUACAAAAGAUACUUGGGUAGUUAAGGUAUGGGAGUAGGAACAGGUGGAGGGUGUUUGGAAUCCUCUUUUUUCAAGACAAAUCCCUGAUUGGGAAGUAGAUGGGGUGGAGGAUUUAUUUAGGAGAUUGCAAUCACAAACAAUCGGUCGGGAGAUAAAGCAUAAAAUGGUUUUAUUGAAUGCUAAGAGUGGUAUAUUUUUAGUGAAACCUCUCUACUAUUCUCUAUCCAAUGGAAGUACAGAGACUUUCCCUUCCUGUAUUGUUUAGAAUUCAUGGGUUCCAUUGGGAGUCAACUUGUUUGGGAAGCAUAGGGAAGGAUAUGGACAUUGGAUCAGCUCAAAAGGUGGGAUGGAAGGUGCUAUAUGGAUGCUAUUUAUUUAAAGGAGGAGAAGAAACAGUUGACUACAUUCUCCAUUACUCGAAAACUGUCAUCUUGUGACAGUCGAUUUAUGCUUUAUUUAAAAUACAGUGGGUAAGGCAUUCCAUAGUAAGGAAUGCCGUCUUGAACUGACAUGGAUCCUUUGUUAUGAAAAAGAGGAAGAAAGCUUGAUCGUUGCUCUCUUAUGAUGUCUAUUCUGGAUCAUAUGGAAGAAGAGAAGCUGGAGAGUGUUUGAAAAUGCUGAAGAAGCCGAUUAACUAAUCAAACAAUCAUUCAUGUUGGAGGGUCGCGGCGUCCAGUCCCAGUCCGCACCAGCCACCCUCCUCACAGCUACUGUCGCCGCUGCCGACGGCGGUGAGGCAUGUAUAAUUUUUUGGAAGAGGGUUAGAGUGUGCGUAUGAGAUCACAAUUUAUCCAUAAUGGACUUCAUUGAUUCGUUGAGUUCUAUGUAGUGUGGGAGUUGUUUUUUUUGUGUAUUCCUCCACUUGGGGUGGCCUUUUGGUGCCUUUGUAUACACUGUAUAUAUGCUUUAGUGUGCCCUUUUAUUAUGUGUUGUUAAUAUAACGAACAUAAUGAUUAUUUGUCUAUCCAAAAAAUAAAAAAAGCCCUUGGUAUUUUCUAAGAAAGUCAACAAGUUCUUUUGGAAGUUGGUGCAUUUUCUUGUUUUCCAAACAUGUUUCUAAAUAGACUUAGCCAAAACCCUAGAUCAAAGUUGUGGACUAGCAGAAGAUAUGGAGAUUCCAGAAGGCAACCAUAGCCGAGAUAGUUCUAUAGGUUCCAUUCUAUGCUGAAUACCUUGGGGGUGGUUUAAGUUUAUUGGCAUCAACAAUAUUUGCAGAUUAGAGUAAACCAUGUGCUUUUUAUGAAGAGUCAUUCACUGUGGAAGGAAAUUUACUUUCCACUCUAUGCUGAAUACCUUGGGGUUGGUUUAAGUUUAUUGGCUUCGACAAUAUUUGCAGAUUAGAGUAAACCAUGUGCUUUUUAUGAAGAGUCAUUCACUGUGGAAGGAAAUUUACUAUGUAAGGGAAUGACUUAUAGCAUGUACACUUACAUUCUUUUCAUGGUAAUGAACUGAUGAGAGGUCAACUUUAAUGGAAAAUUAACCUUUUGGCAGUCUACAGAUUGAUCUGCAGCUGCAUUGUGUCUUCUAUUGUAGGAUGAGAACAUGUUUUAAGAUAGAAAGAUGAGUAUAUGUAGAAUUCUUUAUACCAGAAUCAAAUAUCUUUGGCAAAUCAGGCAUCAAUUUUCUCUGGACCACUGUGAACCAUCUGUCAGGGCCCUCCCACAAAGCUUUUGGCAUUAUUAAUUGUUGGAUGUGUCUCAUUUAAUCAUACGCUGUUUUUUGUGCAUCAGCAUUUUCCUGUAUCUUUUUCCUAUUCUUUUGUUUAGGAUAAAUUUAUUGUUGUUGGAAGUCCUUCCUUCGUCAGUAAGGGGCACUCUUUUGGGGUGUCAUGGUUCCUUUGUAGGAAGGAAACGUUAGAAGGUUUGGAGAGUGGCCCCACUUUGCAUUUUUUGGACAAUUUGGAAGGAAGAAACCAAAGAGAGUUGGACAGUGAGGAGCAGCUGGUUCAAGCAUUGAAACAAUCACUCCGUAGUAAUCUUUUGUCUUGGGGUACCUAUCAAAAAAUAAAAAAAUCUUUUGUCUUGGGGUUAGCAUGUACAGAGAAGUAGUCUGACUGUCUCUCAUUGAUUUUGUAGAUUGGGUGGGUUCUUGGUGGGGGAGGAAGUGGUUGUUUUUUGGUUGUCCAAUCCCUUUAUGGUUGUGCCUUAGUAUCAUCUGUAUAUGUCCUGUAUACCUUGAUGUAUAGCAUCCUUGUUUAUUUAUAAUAUUUACUCUUUUACUUAUCAAAAAGAAAAAAAAAACUUAUUAUUGUUGAAAAAAUUCAAAAUUAAAUUGUUUUUUAAAUUCUGUUUUAGUAGAUGCACACAAUGCAUGUUCGACAUAGAUCAUAUAGUUUAUAAAUUUGUUCUAUUUGCAGCAUCUGAGGUGGAUCCCAUGCACCUUCAGUAUUUCCGCUUCUCUGGUCGAGUGAUUGCAUUAGCUUUGAUGCAUAAAGUGCAAGUUGGUGUUGUCUUUGAUCGAGUAUUUUUCUUGCAAUUGGCUGGAAUGGAUAUUUCCUUGGAAGAUAUACAGGAUGCAGAUCCAUUAUUGUAUACUAGCUGCAAGCAAAUUCUGGAUAUGGAUGCAGAAUUCAUGGAUUCAGAUGCUUUGGGACUAACAUUUGUUAGAGAAAUCGAAGAACUAGGAUCCAGAAGAGUUGUGGAGCUUUGCCCUGGUGGGAAAAACAUCAUCGUGAACAGCAAGAACAGGGACGAAUAUGUUUAUCUUCUUAUUCGGCAUCGCUUUGUUACAUCUACCUCUGAACAGGUAGCACAAUUUGCUGGAGGCUUUGCUGAUAUUCUUUGUAACCAAAAGCUCCAGAAGUUCUUUUUCCAGAGUUUAGAGCUUGAAGAUCUUGAUUGGAUGCUAUAUGGAAGUGAAAGUGCUAUUUGUGUUGAUGACUGGAAGGCACAUACUGAGUACAACGGCUACAAGGAAACUGAUCCUCAGAUUUUCUGGUUCUGGAAGGUAUAUGCAUGCAAGAUUUCAUAUCUAUUUUAUUUUGAGGGGUAUUAGGUUUAAUAUUUCUUGAAAGGAUCUUAUUUCUUGGAGAUUAAUCAGCAUGCACGCAGCAUGAAUAUUAUUCUCUUUCCCAAAUAUUAUCUCGUUUUUAUUUGGUUUUCUUUUCUCCAGUUUUCAGGAUUUUCUCUGCAAUUUAAGAUUUUAUGAUAUUAGUGGAGGUUUGUAUGGUGUCAGGUCUUCCACACAAUGUGUAUCUUUUACUGCAGGCAAACCUUUCUUACAGUAUGGCAUCACUUUAUUUGUUGGGUGGCAGCACCAUUGGUCGGUGUUGCACUAAUGAUUGAUGCAAAAUUGUUAGGUUUUACUUGUAAAGUGGCUCUUGAAAGUUUGAAAUUUUAUUUAAAAUAGAAAUGGGUAUGCACCUCAUAAGGGAGUUGGGCAGAGAGAGACAUGUGCAUUGGAUAUACGCAUUUUUUCAUGUGAUGAGAAACUGUCGUAUGUGUUUGGGAGAGACAAGGGAGAGAACUCAUAGAAAGUAGAGGUCACAUGUUGAAGUAGUGCGAAAUGAUGAUGAUUAAUGGGUUAAUAUAAUAUUUUAGGCUUCAUUUUGUUGAUACAGGCAAUUGCUCACUGGAUAUAUACAUUUCUUUUACCUAAGAAGUAAUUAUCAUACAUAUUUGUAUAAGUGGGUUUUUGUUUAUGUAGAUAGGAACUCAUGAAAAAUAGGUAUUAUAAGCAAGCCCAAAAAGGUAACAUGUUGUAGUGGUUGUAAAAGAUGCCAGAUUAUGGUUUAACAGAAUUUAUGUCAUGGAUAGGCCCUUAGCCAAAAAAAUGUACACUUAGCCCGUUUGAAAUACUUUAUAAUAUCUAAUGCUUCAUUCUGUCGAUACAGACAUUUAUUCUGUCUCACCCUCUACACUACGUGUUGCAUAUCUAUGUGUGUGAAAAGAAGAGUUAUACAUCAAAAGACUACAAUCUGAAAUUACCAACUGUGUUUGGGAUGGCAGUGAUCUCUAUUAUCACCUGAUUACAAAUUUCUGUGGAUGCAAAGAACGUUUAGUGGGUGAUAUUAUAUUCUCUUUCUCUAACCAAUUAGAAGUGGGGUUUGGCUUUAAAGGCAGAGAUUCUGGCUGUUUUGGAAGGUUGAAAGAAGCAUUUCUUUGGGGCUGAGAAUGUUUCUGGAGAAGGGAUACUUUUGCAGAUGGUUGAUUGGAUCAAGCAGGGCAACUGAGUCUUUUGUGCUACUGUCAUUUGUUGUGAGAAGCUAGAUAUCUUGCCAUAGCUCUUUGUGUGGGUGCUUCCUGGGUUGAGAAAAGAUUAAUCAGGAGGAAAGAAUUGUUAGCGAAGAGGGUUGCCACCACAUUAGAGGCUUCUAGUUGGCACUUUACCUUCCUUGACAGAAGUUUUAAUUGGGUUGUGUCUGUGGUUGGCCGUCUUCUGUAUGGGGUUGUCUAAGAUGAGAUUUUUAUCUUUGAAAGGGCUUUGUCUGUCCUUGGAGGAAUUUUCCUUUUUCUCAUCUGCAGUACUUUCUUUGUGUGGGGGUUCCUUACAAUAAGGAAAAGCAUUAUUUGGUUUUAAUAUGAUGAUAGUUAUUCUAAUUGUCUACUUAAACUCCUGCAGAUUAUUGGCGAAAUGUCAGCAGAGCAGAGGAAGAUUCUACUCUUCUUUUGGACUUCGGUUAAGUAUCUACCUGUAGAGGGUUUUGGUGGUUUGGCUUCUCGUCUAUAUAUCUACAAGUCGUCAGAGCCCUGUGUUCGCCUGCCUUCAUCUCACACAUGCUUUUACCGGUUGAGUUUCCCACCUUAUCCAUCAAUGGCUAUCAUGGAAGAUCGGCUUCGCAUCAUCACCCAAGAACAUGUUGGAUGCAGCUUCGGUACCUGGUGAGCCAUCUAUUGCAUCUCAUUUUGGGAUAAGAAGGGUUUUUGACUGCACAGAGAGAUUUGUACCUCUGCAUGUACAGAUUAUAGGAUAAUCUUAUCUUCUUCUUCUUCUUUUUCCCCCUUUUUUCUUUUUUUCUUUUUCUAAUUCGACUAUGUAAGAAGGUUUCCCCCUUUAUCAAGCUCUUUUAUAUGGAGGUUGUAAUUCCUUUGCUCUUUUCAGUCAACUGUUUAUAUAGUUAUAGAAUUCCUUCAGUAAAAUAAGAAAAAGGAAGGCGAGAAGGAAAAAAGGAAUUUCCCUGCUUUAUUGGAUUACUUUUUAUGACAUGCAACAUAAACAGCUCUCUCUCUCUCUCUCCAUUUUCUGUCUUUAACAUAUUUCUCUGUAAAGCUAAUAUAGAACUUCUGUUUCAUUGUUACAUUCCCCUAGCUAGAAAAUAGAUUUGGCAACUUUAUGCUAUUGUAUGCAGUUCUCUUAUGAUCCACUUUGCUUCAUUUGUUCACGAGCAUCAUAUUUCAUAGCUCAUUCUUAGGUUAAAAAGAAACAGGUGAUCUGUCGUUUUACUGUGGGUAUCUGGAAAUUGUAGCAAGUCGCUUACCAUAAAAUAAAUGUCCUCUUUUCCGGCUCUUUUUGUUCUUGUAUUCUUUGGAUUUGUCACUGUUUUUACAUUCUACUACACAACGAAGCUGUUUGGUAAAGAGUGUGCAUUGUGCUUUACUGAAGCUUAUGUUGGUUUGGAAAGGUGUUUUCUGUUGGUGAUAUUUGUACUUCGCAGAACCUGGUCAUGUGGGCCUGUCAUUCACAUUAAAUCAUGUGAAGGCACAUGAUGCGGGACGCCUCCAGCCUUGGUAUGCAUGCUAUCGCUGCUUAAACAUUCUUAGGUUCCAGUCAUCAGUGUUUAUAUAUCCAAUGUACCUCCCUGACACAUCCAGAAUUUUCUCUUUUUUAUUUCAAUUGCCGUGCAACAUGUUUUCUCUUUUGCAGCAUGUAGCUGGCCAAUAGGGCUGUUUGGAAACUGUUUCUGAAAAUCAGUUUUCAAAAAGAGUUCUUUAAAACCACAAUAUAUAUAUUGUGUUUAUUUGAGAGUUUUCAAAAAUGGUUUUAUAAUGUUCUAAAGUCUGUUUUAAAAUGUUAGCCUAUUUAGAAAUUUGGAAUGUUUUUAGUUGUUUUUUUUUGUCAAAUAUUUUUUAAAAUAAUUUUACUUUCAAUCAAUUUUUUUUUGCAUUUAUAUGAUUAUUUUUAAAAUAACUUUCAAAAAAUAAAUGAAAAUAAUUAAAAUAUGUUUUCAUGUUUUGAAAACAAUGGAUCAUACUUGUUUUCAUCUUUUUUUCAAAAAAUGAUAAAAAACCAUUUUUAAAAACCAUUUCCACACAUUAGCCAUAGCUUUUUUUUUUUUUUUGAAUUAAAAAAUCAAGUUUGAUAAACUUUGAAAUGAAAUUUUUUUAAAGAAAAUGUUUUGAAAAUAGGAUUGUAAUUUAGAUUAACAGCAAGACUAUGGCUGAGUUCUGGCUAUCUGCUCGUGUCGAUAAUGAAUAUGGGACGAUCUAAUGUAUUAAAGAGAAUAAUAUAUAAUUAUCAUCAAAACGAGAAUAUAUCAUUAUUAUUAUUAUUAUUAUUCAAGGCUAGAGACAUCUCAACACACCAUAUCAAACUCAUGGACCCUCUUGAAACCAACAUCCCCUGCUACUGAAAAGUGGUGCAGUUCUAUGGUUUAGUCAUCUCCCAUUGAAGCUCCUAAGCACCAUGGGCAUAUUUGCCAAGUGGCAAAAUAUGCUGACGUGGAUCCAAGUAGGUUAUCUUAACUCUUAAGCUUCCAAACCCCAUUCAAAACCCUUUACCAUUCAUCAUAGCAAUAAAAAAGGACUAAAAUAAAACUAGUAACUUAAUUCCCAACUUUGACAUGCAAACCCUAAAAAAGAGUACCCCACCAUCACCCCCACCACCACUGCUGCUGCCUUCACUAGGUAGAUCUAUUCCUCAAUCUUCUCGACAGGAACCUCUGUGCUGGCUUCCUCUGCUGCUUCAGCUGGUUUGGCUUCUUCUUCUUCCUUGGCGGCAGCUUCCUCUGCUGGGGCUGCAGCUGCCUCCUCAGUAGUCUCUUCUUUGGCCUUCUCAACAGCGGCUUCUGCCUCCACUGCUGGAGUCUCUCCUUCGGUUUUCUCUGCUUCUGCCUCCUCAACCGCGGCUUCCUCUACAACCUCCUUUGUCUCAACUUCAACUUCAACAGGAGCUUCAGCUUUGGCUUCAGCUUCAGUGCCGCUGCCUCCUCCACUGGAAGCCCUCUUCCUUUGUUUCUUCAGUAACUGGCUCUGGAGCAGCGGUGGAGCUCUACUCUUUUACGGCUCCCUCUUCCACCUUGUUCAAUUCCUCGGUUUUUUCAUUCUCCGGCAAUGCUGUGGUGACUGAUGCAACCUGCAUAAAUCCCGUUUGACGUUAAACAAAUAACCCUCUGAUGGAAAUUACUGAGACAAUACUUUGUCACGAAUAAAAAAAUAUUCAUAGGAAAAACAAUGAAUUAACGUUGAUGCCAAUAAUUAUAGCCAAAAAAGUAAGCCGCCAAUAUCAGAGUGAGCAUAAAAUAUCCAAUUCAGAUAUUAUAUGGUUUAAAUGAAUCUCUCAUUCUUAUUCUAACUUUGAAUGAAAUGAGGUUUCAUUGGCAUUGCAAAAAUGAUGAGAGCUAUUUCUAUAUCAAAUGAAUGGGAUCCAAUCAUGUUGGUUGCCAUUACUUUUUUCUGGAUCAAUAUUUGAUCAAGCUCCAUGAUGAUCAUAAUAUUGAUCCAUUCAUACUGUGCCAUGCACUCCAGUUUUGCAUAUUCUAAAACUGGGUGAUCACAAAAUGAUGGAUUCUGCUUCUGAUCCAUUCAUUCAUCUAGACCCAGAUGAGGAUUUUACAAACAAGAACUGGGUUAUUCAGAAAAUAGUGAAAUGAUACUCUAAAAAACACCUGGAUCAUCAACAAAUAGAAAAGAAACUUCUAGUGAAAAUUACGCUAGAAGUAAAUCUUUAGUAAGAAACGGAGAGACAGAAAGCAAAAGCUGUCAGUUGAGUCUGUUGAGAGGUACCUCAACAGUGGCCAUGGCAAAAUGAAAGGGAAGUGUUGUGACUGAUCGACUCGAGAAGAGAAAAGCGAAGGGAGUUGGGAGCUAGAGCCUAAGAGAAGGGGUAGUUGUGAGCGAGGUGAAGAGAAGGAGAAUGACAGCUAUAUAUAUAUAUGGAGAAGUAAAUGCAUUGCAGCAAUAAAAGUAUUAAUAAGGAGGAGAGAGAGAGAGAGAGAGAGAGAGAGAGAGAGAGAGGAGUGGAGGAAUCUUGGCAAAUUGACAUCCCAGCCACAUCACUGACAAAAAAGGGCCAUUGGGGAUGUCUAGUCUCUGAAUAAAGUAUUUUUAGGUGAAAGUUUGUAUAUAUAUUUAAAAUUACCAUUAUUAUAGUAAAUAAUUUUGUAUACAUUGAAAUUGAAAUGCCAUAUGGUGGAGGCCAUUUCCCAUAUCAGCUACCAACUAGCCUUUUUUAGUGGGUUUCGCUGUGUUUUGUGCAGUAGGGCAACUAGGUGACUACCAUCAUGCAUUCAUGUUGGCAUUUCAUUAUUUUUUGUUUCUUCUCUUUUAACCAUGUCCUCUCCAAGAUUUACCCCCCUUGCUCCACGGGAUCGCUUUGAAAUCUACAAAUUCCCUUCAUUUUUAAGUUUCAAUCGUACUCAUCAAAAGAAUUAUUAACGUACGCUUAAAAUAUAACUUAGACACCAUUACAAUAUAAUUUAUCCCACUUUAAAAUAUUACUUUAUUAUAAUAAUUUUCAAUAUAUCUAAGCUUGUAGAGAAGAUCGAUUUAUUAUCUUUAGAGUAACUUUUAUAUGUUGAUUCGAUGAAAUUUCUUUCACGUUCGAUAACGGAAGGAUUGUCUUAUAAGACUUGUUUGAAAUCGUUUAUCUAAGACCAUCUCUUAAUAAUAUAAUUUUAACAAUUAAAAUUUUGAUUUUUAUUGUAUAUGUUAACCAAGAAUUAUUAGUAUGUCAAAUAUUUGAAUUUUUUUUUUUCUUUCAUCAAAUCAUUAUUACCCUAAUUCAAAGCUCUUGGACACUUUAGUGGUUGUACUGACGUUGAGAAAAGUUGUGUCCAAAGUGUAAUUGUAAAACACAAUGUUUAAGGUUUGAAGCAUUUGAAGAACGGACAGGAGGCAAAAGCCAAGGUGGGUGGGGUCCAGGGCGGUGCCGAAACGUGGGACCCAUACCAUCAAGGAUGAUCAUGAACCUAACCCAUGGGCCCACCAAAAAUUGAAAAUAAAAUAAAAAUUUUGCCGUGGCCAACUUUUCUUUCUUUGUUUCAACCACAAUGAGAGCUGCCUUUGGCCUUUGGAAACCGCCCUUUCUAAAGAUGAACCCUGUCGGGCCCCACCUGCUCGUACUUUCCAGGUAGGAUCCACGUGACUCCGGGCCCACAUGCAGCCGUCGGAUGUGCCACGUCGGAUUUGAGUCAUCGUUCUGAUCAUGUUCCAUUGUGCCAUAAAAGUGCCACCCACAUGUAUUCUCAUAUUUUAAUAGUGAAAAUAUUUUCAGCAUCAUUUUUUUAUGGGGUAAUUUAUUUUAUUCUCAUAAGGUGCGAUAUAAAAACUAAUUAUAUGAUUUAUAAAAACGAAAUUAAAUGAUGUCACAAGCGUGGAGGAAUUGUCUACUUCAAUAUAUGUUCUCCCACGUUAAAAUGCGUCUAUUCAAUUUUUCAUGGGACAUCAUCUUCAUCACAGCUCAUGAGAUUUAUAGCCAAAAUCCACGUGUUUUUCGAUUAAAAGAUCAAUUCUAAUUUCAUAAUGAACAUUAAAAUCAGAUUUUUAAUUUUUUUUAAAUUAUAUGUAAAAAUAAUAAAAUUGAAUCAGACUUUAUAUAUUAAUUAUUAAUUAAUGACGUCAUCAAAAUAUUUAUUAUUAUUUUUCAUCUAUAUAUGAUAAUUAACUAUGACCCACUUUAUCGCUUUUUACCUAUAUUUAAGUUAGACAAACAGUAACUAAACAUGCCUGAUGCCGCUAGUCCUAAUUAGUUGUUUGUUUGAAUUUUUUAAAGUGGAAGAAAUGGAAAGGGUGUUUAGGUCAUUUCCACGAAUUGCCACGGAUCCAAGGACGAUGGUGGAGUUAGAGUGUGGAGAGUGUAGAUCUCAAUACAGAUUAACAUGAAAUUUUGGACGUAAGUGGGUAAAAGCCUCGACGUACGUGUCGUCAGUUGUGAAUAUGAUUCGUUGGAUUUGAGUACCAAUGUGGUGAUUCUCUAGAAAGUUGACUACAAAAUAAAAAGUUGAUGUAAAGUUUGGACGGUGGGGAGUGCAGGCCAGAGUGGACCCUAUUUCUCUUACAUGAUUUUGGAGGGUUACCGUUGGCGAAUAGGGACAUGGCACGGGUGCUGCUGGGCCUACGUCACCAUGGGUUACGGGCCUAUGGCCCUUGUGUUCGGUUGACGUGGUCGGCCCCACUGUCUGAGCUGCUGGGUUUGAUCUGCAAAGGGUUCCUGUGGGUGGCCCACCAACUGAAUCAUUUAAGGCUUGGUGAGGUGGACCAAUGGGCUUCGAGUUGUGUGGGGCCCAUGAGGUAAACGGCUAUACUAAACCGUCGGAAAAAAAAAUUUUGGUGGGUGAACGGUUUAAACAAAAGUGAAAAUUGUUUCCUUUCUAUUCUUUCAAUUUCUGAAAUUAAAAUACUGAAUGUAUUUUUACCUUUUUAUUUUAAUUUUUAAUGAAAUUUAAAUAUAUUUAAUCGAAUUAAAAUAAACCCAAAUCACCGUUCAUUUCAGGCUUACACCUAUCUUACGGUUGCAGCCAUCCUAAGGUUUAAAUCAUAUACCCUUUCUUAGGUUUAUAUCUAGCAUCAACAUAUAGGUAGACCAAUAAUUUAUUUGACUAGAAAAAGCAAUUUGAUAAAAACGUAGGAUAGUGAAAUCAUACUUACUAAUAUAAAAGGGACCAUUAGGAGGAUCCCACAAGAUCCAAUCUAAUCUUGAUGGAUUGACAGUGAGUAAAGCCAUGAAGAACAAUAGGGAAUACAUGCUUUGGAGGCAAUCAAUCAGUGGAAAAAGCCAUUAGCUUACAUUUGAAACUUGAUGUUUUAUCAGUGCUUACCUCCAAGCAUGCAUUUUAAGAAAAAGCAUACUAGCUUGCAAAGAUUAGAGUGACACCAACCUGAUUCGAGGAGGCAACGCUGGUCCAUCAACCUCUAUCCAUGGGAAGCUUGCUUUUCUUUUCCCAAGUCCAAAUCAUGACUGGUCGGCGAUCACUUUUUUUCUUCUUUCCCUCUUUUCCUUUUUCCAAUCCGAGUUAGCAGCUAACCUGGUCCCUUGUAAAAGAGAUGCCUGAGAGGUGGGCCUUUUGAGAGGCAAAUGUCAAUCACUGUUCUCAAAAGAAAGUUUCAGCAACCAUGGGAAUUAGAGGAUUUACAGAAUCUUUUUAGUACAGAAGCGCCCACCAAAACUUCAUGGGUUCCCAAUUUCACGCACUCCUCUAAGGGGUAAAGAGUGUGGUAUAAGCCAUAACCUGUCUAUCAUUCUGUAAUAAAAAUAUUAAAUAAAUCACCUACCCAAACCUUAAAAGAGGAUGAGGACUUCUAAUUCCUACUUUGAAUUAAUGAUAAUACAUAUCCAAGGACGGUUCACCAACAAGCCAAUGCUACAACAUGUGAAUAUGAGGAUAUUUGCAGGAUGGGGAUAUAAGGAUUAAGAGAUCAAGCAAUUUUCUGGAGAUAAAAUAGUUAUUAAAACUGGAAAAUGUUGAAAAUUUAUCUGAUACACAAAUUAACUGUGAGACUGCAAUUAAGGUGAAUACUAUAAAGGUGAUUUCACCAGUUUUCUAUGACAAAGAGUUGAUAGCUGACUGGAAAGUUUCAGUUAAGCAGAAAACAUAAAGAGAACCAGGCGGUGCUUGAACCCUAUCUAUGGAGUAGCCAAUUCCAUGCAGCAAAAUAAAUUUCAGCUGACGAGUUUUCUCAACACUGCUUCAGCUCGCUGCUCGAAUUUGGGUAGGGCCCAUUCAUGCUGAACUAUGUCGAGACUGUCUUUCUCAGCACCCAAGCUCUGACAAGAAAAGUGGAAAAUUAUUAGGAUGGAAAUCAUUUUUCUGCUUUCAAGCCAUUCAUUAGUACUCUCUGAUAUCCUGUUUCAGUAAACAAAGGUGAAAAAGAAGUUUUGGGGGUUUUCCAAAGUUUAUUCUUAUUUCCAUUAUGAAUAAAAGAGAACCUUUGUGUUCUUUAGACCGUGAUUACAAUAACUAAUGAACAGAAAACAUUUAAAAACCUUUUUGUUUCUCUCAUCUGAUUUCACUAAUUUAUUAUCAUGCAAAUGAGACCAAAGUUCAGAAAUAUUUAGACUUAAUUCCAUAAUUCCUUGUUUUUUUCAAUAAGCAACAACAUUUUUAUGCCAUGGUCUUGGUUGGCAGGAAUAAGAUCUGAUUCAAUAAAAGGCAAAAAGAAACAAAAUUAGAUGAUAAUAUUAGAUGAGCAAGGAAAUCAAUCAGGCAACCAUAGGAAAGCUUCUUAAGAUGCAUCAACCUCCUAAAGGGUGGGAGUUACAAACUUGUAAGCAUGCCAAACAAUAGCCCUAAGACAACAUUCUCAAAGUAAAAUGGAAGCAAAAUAACCAAGGAUGAGGAUGGUAAAUGUUAACAUGGAAAACCCCUUAAAGUGAAGGGAAAAAGCACAGAACAAGAAGCAUGACUGUACUGUGAAAUAUGCAAGUAAAGGGGCAUUAAUCCUUUCCAGUGCAGAUGAUACCCCCAACGGCUCAACCUAAUACAAUCUAGCUGUUACAGGUGAACCACAAAAAGCAAUAGUGGUGAUUUUUUUUUUUUUUUGAUAGGCACAAAAAGCAAUAGUGGUGAUACAACCUCCAUAACCUAUUACCUAUCAAAAAAACAAAAAGAACCUCCAUAACCUGGCUCCAAGUCUUUAAUGAGUAGAACCCCUGUGACAUUAUCCUUUUUCCUUUUGAAAAAGGUCCCCUAAAAUGGAGGGUUAUUGGCUAACACUCUCAAUGAUGGUUUUUUAAGGCCAUCAUUGUAACAUAGACUGUUCAUGUGAUGAUGUUUGAUGUGGUAACAACUUUAUACUAGAAGAAUAUCAGAUGGCAUGAUGGGGUUUUUGUUGUCACUUCUAAAAGAGAAACAUCCUUUCAUAAACAUUAGCUUUGAUGUAAACUUGCUUUCAUCCCUUUUAGCCAUUGGUUGAGGCAUGAGAGAGAAUAAGCCUUGAUCUGCCAAGUAAUAACCGAAAUGGCAACCAUUGCCUAGCUCAAGUGACUCAUCAUUGCCUGCUUGCCCCACCACUGGCAAAUGGGCAACACAGGAUGAUUCCAUCUUUUUGGCAUUUGAGACACUUAUGAAUGCAGAAUAACCAUAACCUUCAAGACAUCUGACUUUCAUUGUCAUGCCUAGGUGUGCAAGACAUGAAGCACCUAUGAUGUGACUUGAGCAGCAUCAAAGGCCACCACCCUCAUUUAACUGAGCUGUGAAUGCCAAUAAAUGUCACCUUGUAUGGAAGGGCAAGAAGGCAGUGCAGAAGACAGCUUCCUUGAUCUUAGAUUCUUAAUAUAGACUUGUAAGAACAUUAACAGAAGAACAUUCAGAGGCAAGGAAGCAUCUUCAUUGAAAGUUGAAACAGAAACAAUGGAGGGUCAAUUGGCAUAGGCCCGAGAAAGCCAUUUUAUGUCAUUUCUAGAUAACUUGAAUUAUGUAGUGUAAUUUUUAGUACUUUGCUGUACCCCUUUUUUUUGUCUGCCUAUUUGUUGCAUAUACACCAAAUAUAACUGAGGUUACCACCUUUCCUUAAGUUGGUCUUUACUUAUAAAAGAAAGGCUAACACAAGAGAAGUCCAAUUUAUCUAGUCAGUCAAAGAAUGCAUGUCAAUCUGCAAUGCAGCAGCAUGAUAUGUCAUGGCCGUCCAAUGAACAAGACAUGUUAUCCAUACUCUUGAGCAGCCAUAUGGAGGGAAUGAAUAAAAGUUAUGAAGAAAAGUAAAAUUAUCCUUCUCUUUUCAGUGGAUGAAAAGUAUAACCCUCUCAUUUACAACUUAAUUGCUCUAUAAAUGUUGGAACGUAAUUGAAAAUUUAAAAAUGAGAUGGGGAAGGAUACAAAUCACUCUUCAUUCCAUUUUUUUCUGAUGGUUCUUGUCAAAUUUUUUAGGCAUUCUUUACACAAAUGAGAACAUUUCAACAGAUACAGAACAGGAAAAAAAUAACAUCUUAGUAGACAAGCAGACAUAUUAGCGCCAGACUGUACAAUAAGUCUAAGUCAAAUGCGAAUGCUGGCAUUAAAUUUCCCUCUAACACAGAGUCCAAUCUUCAGUAGGGCUAUGCACUACUCAUGAACAGAUAGAGCUGACCUAUCUCACCUACCUUGGCAUCUCCUUGUCCAUAGAGGGCCAAUCAGCCUAGAUUCUAGAAGCCUUGAUGAACCUAUGUUUCACAACCCGUAAUAACCUAACCAGUCAAAUGUUGAAUUCCUUUUACACUCAAUAGCAAAAGCCUUCCUUGAGCUCUAUCCCAAGCCAUUCCUUGAUAAAAUUUCAUCUAUCCCAUCAUUUUGGAAACUAAUAGCUCAUCUUUGUUGGAGGAGGUUCAACAGAAAAGUCACCUUAGAUCACUGGUUAACAUAUAGUAUAUGGUAAUGUGAAAAGCUUUUCUUGAUUUAACACUAGGCAUGACCUUGUUGUAAUGCCUUCUGAAACCAAAAGGGUAUAUGAGAUUUAUGUUCAUUUGAUUGGGUGUAAGAAUCCACAGCUGAUCAUGAACAAACAAAUGACAUCAGCUCCCCAGCAACACUAAACAAGCAUACUGUAAAAGGCCCAAGCUGGCUGGGAUCACAUAAGAGCUAGACACAUGAUUGAAAAAGCAUGGACCUUAUACUACUGUUGUUGGCAUGAAAGAAGCAGCACAUCGGUAAAAGGUGGUACCGAGGCAUCAAAGGCCCUUUUUUAAUUAAAAAACACAAGCAUUAGACAUCUAUUGUUUAUGCGUAUGUCGCAAAAGAAGGAGAUGAAACCUGACACUUGAUGCCAUGGUUGACAAAUGAGAACCUGUCAUGCCUUGGUGCCUAGGGAAUGAAAGCAGUCUAAACAUUCCAUAAUUUAAAACUAUGCAGCAUUUUCCAAUCUUACCCCUUUCCUUCACGGUGGGCAAUGGGAGAAGGAUUAAAUUUUGGAAAGACAAAUGGUGUGGUGAUGAGCUUUUGUGUGUCUUGUUCCCCUCCUUAUUUGCCCUAGCUAGCUGUAAAGAGGCUUGGGUGGCGGACUUGUGGAUGUACUCUAAUAAGAAGGGUGUUUGGAUUCCUAAUUUCUCUAGACCUCUCAAUGACUGGGAUAUUGAGACUGUGGAGUGCUUUUUUUCAAGGCUUCAAGAUAAGGCGGUGGAUGUGGAAGGGGAGGACAAGAUGUUUUGGGUGGCAACAAAGAGUGAAUCCUUCUCUAUUAAGUCCCUCUACUCUAUCCUUGAGGCAGGAAAGGUGGAGCCUUUUCCUUCAAGUGUAGUGUGGAAUGCAUGGGUUCCUCCAAAGGUGAGUUUUUUUUGCUUGGGAGACUUCGUGUGGAAAAGUUUUGACUUUAGACCAACUACAAAGGAGGGGUUGGUCUUUAGCCAAAAGAUGCUCCCUUUGUUAUGCUCAUGAGGAGUCAAUUGAUCAUAUCCUCUUGCAUUGUGGAAAAGUGAGGGUGUUGUAGGAGCUCUUGUUAUCUGUUUUAAGGGUGUCUUGGGUGAUCCAUUCUACAAUAAGAGAGACCCUUUUAGGGUGGCAUGACUCUUUUGUUGGAAGAAAGUGGAAAAAAGUUUGGAGAGCAACGCUUUUAUGCCCUUUUUGGAUAAUAUAGAAAGAGAUAAAUAGAAGAUAUUUCGAGAAGUGGAGUUCUCUAUUCAAAUGCUGAAAUUCUUGUUUUUGUGCAGCUUGUCAUCUUGGUCUAAUUUGUUUAUAAAAAAAUACAAUUAUGUCCUUAGACAAUUUUAUUGAUUGGUUGGUGUCGGAUUGAGGGAAUUAGCAUUUUUGUUUUCCUUAUCCCUUUUGGCACUCUUUGGCGGUCGUUGUAUAUACUGUGUACUUUGGUAUGCCCCUUUUGGCACUUUUUGACGACUGUUGUAUACACCGUGUGUACUUUAGUGCGCCUCUUUUGGUUCUUUUAUAUUAAUACUAUUGCCAUUUACUUAUCAAAAAAAAUUCCAAUCUACCCCUUGGAAGCUCCAUACUGGAAUCACUAAAUCCUUAGGGCAUAUUUCUAAAGGGAAAUAAUCCAAUCCUCAAGACAAGAAACCAAUGCUUUGAAUUCCUCACAGGUUAAGUGGCCACCCACUCCAAUCAAACCCCCAAAUAAAAACUAAAAAUAAAUAAAAUAAAAUAAUAAUAAUAAAUCCAUAGCUCAUACAAAUCACCUCCUACUACAAAAGAACACUUAAGACAUACACCAUCAGGGCACACAGGAAAACCUCAACUUAUCACAGACUACAGUACAUAAUCCUAUAGGUUUUUUACCUUCUGCUUUUUUUUUUUUUUUUUAAAUUUUAGGGCAUUUUCACAUACUUGUGCAGUGCUGUUUCAUAUAAAAUGAAAGAGAAUAAAUAGUGGCUGUUACUAUGUGACACCGAGUAACCACAGGGAAAAUAAUAUACCUUUGUAGGAUCAACGCCGAACCCACUCAUUUGCAUCAUACGCUGGGUAUCAUCUGUGGCUGUAUCAAAACAUCAUAUCAGCCUCUCAUGAAUUGAAAGAGGGUUUAAUCUUUUUUUCUUAAAAAAACGUAUAAAGUCUAAAGAGUACUUUGAAAAGGAGGAGAAAAGAGAGAUAAAUCAAAUAGUUAUCACACAGUUGGCCAAAGCAUCAUCUUAGAGUUUAUAAACCAAUACAAACCAUUUUCUUCUCCCAGAAUGAGACUAAAUAAACCCCUUAAUCCGAACAGGUUGAGGAAGUACCUGAUAAAAGAUUACAGCAAAUUAGAAGACAUUCAGCCCAGUGUUCUAAAGGUUAAUAUCAAAUUCAAAGCAAAAGAUUUGACAGGCUGGAAGUAAUAGCUUUCUUGUUCUUGAUAUUAAGCAAGUACCAUGAGCGACUGCUGACAUAGCUAACAUCUACAGUGCUCAAAUCAAUUCCAUUUUGUAACAUGGAGCGAAACCUCUGAGUCAAGGGGAAAGGUAUCUUGGCUGGGGAAAAAAAUAACAGAUUCAGAUUCUAAUAAUGUUGAUAUAAACUUGCCUAUCUAAAAAAUAAUGUUGAUAUAAACAAUUAUACGGAAAAGUGAAGAUCAAUACAGCAAAAGAAUAAAUAUAGGAAUAUUAAAGACUGAUAUUCCAAAAAUUGUUGUAUAUGCAAAAAGAAUGUCCUGAUUCUGGAAAGGAGCAAUUGAAAAAAAAAAGGGAAAAAGGAACAAAUGGACUGAGUAUUGAUAGAAAUACACAAGAAAAGUAAUAGAUUGAUAACAUAACAAGCAAUUUGAGCCUGAAAAAAAUGAGCAAGUGAAGAGCAAUAAACAAAAAGCAUAAAGCCCCAUCUCAAGAAAACUCAAGGUUCAUCAAAUAGAUAAAUGAAACAACUCAGAAAGCCUGAACUUGAUAAAGAGGUAAAAAAAAGAAAAACAGACCUGCUACAAAUCCAGAGAAGAAAAAGUUAACCCAAGCAAAAGUAAGAGUCUGUCCACAAGGGUAAAAAACGGUAAUUAAUGGUUAGUCAUCUGAUCUAUUACAUUAAAGAAUAGCAACAGAAAACACCGACAGCAAUACCUGGGGAAUGAUCAUUGAAAGGUUCUUCUUCAUCAUAUCCAUAGCCAUGUUUGGAUCAGAGAACAUUUGUGCCUGAGCAUUUUGCGCCUGACCCUUAGGAACAUGCAGUAAUCCAUUUUCCUGCCAUGGUCAAGCAAAUGUGCAUAAAUGGCAUUAGAAUAACCCACAAGAGAAGGCACACUGCAAGCUAGCUUCAGUGUAUGCACUCCCUCAAAAGACCUGGCUUCUAUGAGUUAUUACAAUUGAGGCAGCCCAUAAAGCAAAGCCAGCCAAAAGAUACACUAAAAACAUGAAUUUAGAGUGAUACACAUUAGAUCCACAAAAGUAUGUUGACAUGGCUAUGAGAAAAGGAUGAAAUUUGUAUUUAGUUCGGGUUUAAUCAGCAACCGAUAUUUUGUGUUACAAUGUCAUCAGUUAAUGUCUCACACCACGUCCGUAAGGGCCUUCAUUUAUCCUUCUAGAUUCUUUCACCUUGAACUACACCAACGAGUUGCAGUCAAAGAAAAGGAAUAAUGCUCAUUUGGCAUGUCAAGAACCAAACCAGGUCUUGAAUGAGGAAGCACUCAAACCAUCUUGAUGAUUGCAGAUCCAUGGAUGUUGUUAUAACCUUAAUACCUAUGCUCAAGUUGGAUAGUAUAUAUGUAGUGGAGCAUCCAGACCCUGUUCACACCUGUAUAUUGAACAGAUGUAUGCAUGCAUGAACCCAGCUUGCUGGGUUGGACCCAUCACAACCAGAUGGGUUGGACCAAAACAUUUGCCACACCCAAUUUUCUAUAACCUUGUACUAGUGUUACAUCUUACACCCAUGAGUUCAUUCUUUUCCUAUUCAUUUUUUCUUGCCUUGCUACUCAUCAAUCUCAACGUUUCAUUCCAAUUACACUCACUUUAUGCACAUAUUGUUUCAUAACAGCUUAAUACAUUCCCACAAAAAACAGUUGGCCUUAUAAUUACCACAUAAUUUUCCGUUCAAAUUGGGAAGCAUGGAUUCAACCCACAACAUGCUAGGAGCAACUCUCCACUUCAUCCAUCCUGUUCUAGUUCUGUGAGUAAUGUCUGCUUUGUUAUGGUCAUUCUCAGAAGCACAAAUCUUCACUAGACACUCAUUCCUACUCAUAAUUUAUUAAUUUCAAAAUGUACAUCCUAGAGCUCCAUCUUCCGCAUCAAUCCUUGAAAGGUUUAGACUUCAUUUGGUUCCGAGAAAGAACCAAACUGAGGAUAAAAAAAAAUUAACAGCUAAAACAGUAAGAGUGAGAAUAAGAACCAGACAACAGUUGGCGAUUCUUGCCAGAAAAGUUUGCAUAAACUAAACACAAAAGCAUGAAUCAAUGAAAAGAAAAUUUCGAAACGUUAGCUUUUGAUUUUCUUUUCUUUCCUUUUUCCUCCUAUAAUUAGUAAUGACCAUCCUGAUUCAGUAAUCAAAACCUAAACCUUUUCAUCAGUAUCACAUCAAUUUUCUAGUCAAAACCAUCAACAAAAAUUUUAUUAAUUUUUUUUAAAAAAAAAAUAAACGUACAGACACACAAACCUCGUUAUUGAAGUAAACUUUCCUAGCACGAAACGACUUGGCCGGAAUGUAAUUCGCCGCCGCCCGCAAGUUUCGAGCCCUAACAAUCACCUGCCUGAAAUUAAAAAAAAAAAAAAUCAAAUCAGACACAUGAAAUCACAGGAUUAGAUUACGCUAACAUGCAGGAGCUAGGGUUUCUAACCCUUCUCUAACGAUUUUGGAAUCGGGCACUUGAGAGGAUCGCAUGAGCUUGGAGACGAAAUAGCGGAGCACCCCGAUGAGAACCAUCACCACCGACAGUGGUAUAAGCACCCAAUCUCUGAUGGCCGUGUCCAACACCAGAUCUUCCGCCAUUGUUUCCACACACAGCUUCAGCCCUCACACGAAUCGUCAAUAUUAGGCUUUUCCACUUCUAAACGACGCCGUUUCAUUGUAUUACGAACGACGUCGUUUCAAUAUUUAUUCAGCUUAUGAAUUACCCAAACAGUCCCUAGUAGUUAUACACUAAAAAUUAAAACCAUAUUAAUUAUUUAUGAUUAAUAUUUAUAAUUUAUUAUCAAUUUUCUAUAUAGUUUUAAAAAUAAACCUGUUUGAUAUUGAAGCAUGAAAAUCAAUUUACAUCUUUUUAAUAUUUAAAAUGCAUUAAAUAAUACUUUAAGUUUAAUAUAAUAUAAAAUAUAUUUUCAGAAAAUUAAAGGGUUAAUCAAAAGAAAACUAAGGGAAAGAGUAUUAGGCUUUAAUCCUAAUUAGAUUGAUACAUAUUAUUGAUUAAUUAUCUAAUAAUUAACCCUUUUAAUUUAUUGGUAACUUAACCCAAAACCUUAACCUAGACCACCAAUUUCACACUCUUAUAGAUAUUACUAAGGUUAUAAAUAUGGCCAUGGCCCAUUUGAAAAUUUUAAGCUUGGUCGAGGUUGGAAUGAUUUUUUAACCCCAAACAUGUUAAAUCUCCUAAGAAAUUUAGAAUCUGUUUGAUAGUAAUUUUAGCAGACAUUUUUAACUCUUUUAAUACUUGAAAGAUAAAAACUUUCAUGCAUUAGAAAUGUUAGAAACACUCCGAAUAAUCACUACAAAAUAUAUUCUUAAUAUUUUGAAAUAUGUAAAGCACUAUCAUUAAAACUAAGCUCUUUUCACGUGUAUAAGUAAAAUAAUUAAAUUUUGGAUCUCAAGUUCAGAUUAAAAGUGUAAGUAAAAAAAAAAAACAAGAACUUAAUUAAAUUAAUUCAUUUUUCAACAAUUGCAAAUUUUAAAAUUUUGAAAAUUAAUUAUAUCAGUUUAGUUUUUGUUUUCUUGUUUCCAAACUCCUAACAAUUGAACCAAAUCAAUAUUAAAAAACUUUCAUUUCUUGUAAUUUAUAAUUAUUUAUUUGAUAAUUUAUUUUAUAUUUACUAAUAUAUAUAUAUAUAUAUAUAUAUAUAUAUAUAUAUAUAUAUAUAGUGACUCUAUUAAAAUAAUUCAUUAUUAUUAUACUAUUAUCGUAUUAAUAUUUAAAUACAUCCAUUAUAUUUUAAAUAUAUCUUGAACUUCAAAUUCUAAGUAAAUUUUAAUUACUUUUAAAAACAAAUUGAAAUAAACGUAUAAAUUAAUUUGCAUCCAAUUGAUCAUAUAAACCAAACCAACCUUAAACAAACUUGAUUGGUUGGUUUUUCUAUCACUAAAAGAUGAAUUCAACUAAUUUUUUUCCCCAAAAACCAACUGAACCGGGCCAUUUUACAAUCAACUCAAAAGACUAGCAUGGGCCAAGCCAUAAAGGCAACCCGAGUCCAGCCCGAACCCAAACUAUGAGGCCGGACCACACAAGCCUGGAUAUAAGUAUAGCAUAAUGGCCUAUAAAGCUUAUUGCAAAACACAAGUUAAGCAUCUUCAGCGCUACAAGCUUCUUCAUUUCUU